UCACCUGUUUUUCAAAAACAUGUCUUAAAGAAAAUAAUUUUAAGUCUAAUCUGCUCAAUGAUAUUUUAUUUAAUAGCUGCAGUAUAAAUAACUGUACUAAGGUAGCAUAAUAAUUAGUUUUUUAAUUAAAAACUAGAAUGAAAGAUUUAAUGAAAUAUAAACUGUCUCAAAAUUAUUAAAUAAAUUUUUUUUUUAAAUUAAAAAAUUUAAAUAUUUUUAAAAGACGAUAAGACCCUAAAGAAUUUUUAUAUUUUAUUACUUAAAAUUUUUUUAUAAAUAAUUUAAUAUUUUAAUUGGGGAAAUUUUAAAAUUUAAAUAAUUUUUAAUUAUAAAUUUCAUUUAUAUAUGAAUAAAAAAUAUUUUUUAAAAAAUAAAAACAAAUUACCUUAGGGAUAACAGCAUAAUUUUUUUUUAAAGAUCUAAUUUAUAAAAAAGCUUAUGACCUCG
Molecule: ribosomal RNA, 447 nt
Filed under: Apanteles merope
Lineage: Eukaryota; Metazoa; Arthropoda; Insecta; Hymenoptera; Braconidae
Description: partial 16S ribosomal RNA
Source: RNAcentral